RNAcentral lists this ribosomal RNA (286 nucleotides) under uncultured prokaryote. RNAcentral describes it as "partial 16S ribosomal RNA". It matches the Rfam family "Bacterial small subunit ribosomal RNA", at positions 524 to 812 of the family's 1533-position model. The record is from RNAcentral.
GACGAACUGUUCUAACGUUAUUCGGAAUCACUGGGCUUAAAGGGCGCGUAGGCUGUUUGUUAAGCGGGGUCUGAAAUCCCUCGGCUCAACCGAGGAACUGGGCUUCGAACUGGCAGACUAGAGUGAAGUAGGGGUAAGCGGAACUUGCGGUGGAGCGGUGAAAUGCUUUGAUAUCGCAAGGAACACCGGCGGCGAAGGCGGCUUACUGGGCUUCAACUGACGCUUAAGCGCGAAAGCUAGGCUAGCGAACGGGAUUAGAUACCCGGGUAGUCCCUGAGCGGGCUGG